UCAAUAUUUGGUUUGUUUCUUAAUGUUUUCGUGUAGACCAUCUGUUUGAUAAAAUUACAUAUCUAGGUUUUAACUCUAUAUAUUUUACUUUUGAUUUUCUAUCUUAAAACUCGUUUUUUGUUAUGCUAUAGGAAGAGUUAGUUGUUGUAGCUUCAUGAUAAUUUACUUUUCUUAGGGUUUGAACUUCAUAUGUUAUUAUUAUUGUUGUUGUUGUUACUUUUGCUUUGAUUUUCCUUUCAAAUAGUUGAUUUAUUAUUCUGUGUGAUUCAGUUCAUGAUGGUUGAUUAUCCAAUAUGGUAAAUCAGUUGGUGGUAUACUGUGUGCAGCCCGACAGUUAUGCCUCUUGUAAUUCCAACUUUUGACUAUUUUACUGAUUUGUGAUUGUUUGGAAUGUUCUGAUAGGAAAUAAUUCUAAUCAAAUUCUGAUAUUCAAUCAGUUGGAUGCCUACUAAUGUGCCCACACUUACACGUUGAUGGUUUAAAUAGCAAAUGUUGUUUUAAACUUUAUGAACAUAAAGUUAUUAUAUUUGUCCAACUUUAGCAUGUAUCCUUGCACCUGUUGCUUUUUCACUUGAUUCAGCUUAUGGCUUCAAAUGUAGAAAGGUCAAAUUUGUUUUGUAGCAGUUUUGCAAUUGAAUUUCUUUUAAGUUGUUGAUUUUGGAGAUGCAGGUAUAUGACAGGGGCAGUUGGUUCGUUUCUUCAAAAGAUAUUCUCAAGUUUCGUAGAUUCUUUCCAGUAUGUUUCCUUCUCGAAUACGCUAUCAGGAUAUGGAUGAAAGUAACUUUACUGCUGGACACAGGAGCCUGAAGUUUCAACACCAAAUGAGCCUGAAUUUAAAUUUAAUUUACUGAUAUUAAUAAUUUAGAAUUACAAUUAGGGAGACAAAAUAAGUUUAAUUUAAUAAAUAAUAAUACGUUUUAGUGACAGACAUACCGUAGGAAUAGAUUAAUAUUAUUUUAGUAAUGAUGUACAAUUUUUUUGUAGUGAUGAUAUUUACUUCAUAAUUGAGUAACAAUGGCAUACCUUAUAUUUUAAAAGUAUUUAUUUUAUACUCUAUUUUUG
RNAcentral lists this long non-coding RNA (1062 nucleotides) under Cicer arietinum (chickpea). Its description in RNAcentral is "long non-coding RNA (CARI_LNC002843)". Lineage: Eukaryota; Viridiplantae; Streptophyta; Magnoliopsida; Fabales; Fabaceae. The record is from RNAcentral.